RNAcentral lists this transfer RNA (72 nucleotides) under Bos taurus (domestic cattle). It matches the Rfam family "tRNA". Rfam says of the family: Transfer RNA (tRNA) molecules are approximately 80 nucleotides in length. Lineage: Eukaryota; Metazoa; Chordata; Mammalia; Artiodactyla; Bovidae. The record is from Rfam by way of RNAcentral. RNAcentral also lists the same sequence under 2 other names.
UCCCUGCUGGCUCAGAUGGUAAAGCAUCUGUCUAGGAUGCGGGAGACCUGGGUUCGAUCCCUGGGUUGGGAA